UGGUUGGCUGUUUUGGAAUGUCACAC
This 26-nucleotide non-coding RNA is filed under the name Rattus norvegicus (Norway rat). Lineage: Eukaryota; Metazoa; Chordata; Mammalia; Rodentia; Muridae. The record is from RNAcentral.